GAACGCUGGCGGCAUGCCUUACACAGUGCAAGUCGAACGGCAGCACGGGAGCAAUCCUGGUGGCGAGUGGCGAACGGGUGAGUAAUAUAUCGGAACGUGCCCAGUCGUGGGGGAUAACGUAGACGAAAGUUACGCUAAUACCGCAUACGAUCUAAGGAUGAAAGCGGGGGAUCGCAAGACCUCGCGCGAUUGGAGCGGCCGAUAUCAGAUUAGGUAGUUGGUGGGGUAAAGGCUCACCAAGCCAACGAUCUGUAGCUGGUCUGAGAGGACGACCAGCCACACUGGAACUGAGACACGGUCCAGACUCCUACGGGAGGCAGCAGUGGGGAAUUUUGGACAAUGGACGCAAGUCUGAUCCAGCCAUUCCGCGUGCAGGAUGAAGGCCCUCGGGUUGUAAACUGCUUUUGUACGGAACGAAAAGGUUUCUAUUAAUACUAGGAGCUCAUGACGGUACCGUAAGAAUAAGCACCGGCUAACUACGUG
This 483-nucleotide ribosomal RNA is filed under the name uncultured bacterium. RNAcentral describes it as "bacterial SSU rRNA". It matches the Rfam family "Bacterial small subunit ribosomal RNA", at positions 31 to 507 of the family's 1533-position model. The record is from RNAcentral.